Non-coding RNA from Castor canadensis (American beaver), 158 nucleotides. Lineage: Eukaryota; Metazoa; Chordata; Mammalia; Rodentia; Castoridae. The record is from RefSeq and is a predicted model, not a curated record.
CAGUGAGCUGCAAUUGAAGGCAGUUCAUGGCAUGUUUACAUCUCCUAGUAAACCAUACAUCCAGCUAAAAACAAGAGAUGAAAAUAUAAAGGUGGAUCACCUUUUGCAUUGGUGGUUAGUGGCAACAAACAACAGAAGGAAUUUAGCUAUAUGGUAAU